UUAUGGUGUCAAGAAAACAUAGUCACCAUUAUUAUGAAAAUUAAAAUAUGGAAGAGAUGAUCCCUACUAUCAAUCAGCUUACAACUAGAGGCACUGACAAAUGUAUACAGAUAUCUGUAACGUAAGGUAUAACAUAAGGUUAAAAAUCUGUAAGAGCCUGAUUUUAGAAUUCACCAGCUCCACAGAAGUUUGGCGAAAUAUGAGUUAUUAAGCCUACGCUCAGAUCAAGGUAGCAGCUAGACUGGUGUGACAGCCUGUUUUUAAUCAGUUCCUCAAAGCUGUGAUCUCCCUGAUGUCACCGAAUGGCCACAGCUUGUAAAAGAUCACCAGGAGAACCUCAGUCUGAGAACAUUGAAGCUAGCCGAAUGAAGCGAGCAGCUGCAAAGCAUCUAAUAGAAUGCUACUACCACCAGUUAACCUAGGGCUGUGGAAAUGAGGCCUGCAUGAAUGAGUUUUGUGCUUCCUGUCCAACUUUUCUUCGUAUGGAUAAUAAUGCAGCAGCUAUUAAAGCCCUUGAGCUUUAUAAGAUUAAUGCACAACUCUGUGAUCCUCAUCCCUCCAAGAAAGGAGCAAGCUCAGCUUACCUUGAGAACUCAAAAGGUGCCCCUAACAACUCCUGCUCUGAGAUAAAAAUGAACAAGAAAGGCGCUAGAAUUGAUUUUAAAGAUGUGACUUACUUAACAGAAGAGAAGGUAUAUGAAAUUCUUGAAUUAUGUAGAGAAAGAGAGGAUUAUUCCCCUUUAAUCCUUGUGAUUGGAAGAGUUUUUUCUAGUGCUGAGGCAUUGGUACAGGGCUUCCGGAAAGUUAAACACACCAAGGAAGAACUGAAAUCUCUUCAAGCCAAGGAUGAAGACAAGGAUAAAGAUGAGAAGGAAAAAGCUGCAUGCUCUGCUGCUGCUGUGGAAGAAGACUCAGAAGCAUCUUCCUCCAGGAUAGGUGACAGCUCACAGGGAGACAACAAUUUGCAAAAAUUAGGCCCUGAUGAUGUAUCUGUGGAUGUUGAUGCCAUUAGAAGGGUCUACACCAGAUUGUUCUCUAAUGAAAAAAUUGAAACUGCCUUUCUCAAUGCACUUGUAUAUUUGUCACCUAAUGUGAAAUGCGACUUGACGUAUCACAGCGUAUACUCUCGAGAUCCUAAUUAUCUGAAUUUGUUCAUUAUCAUAAUGGAGAAUAGAAAUCUCCACAGUCCUGAAUAUCUGGAAAUGGCAUUGCCAUUAUUUUCAAAGCAUUGAGCAAGCUACCCCUUGCAGCCCAAAGAAAACUGAUCAGACUGUGGUCUAAAUACAACGCAGACCAGAUUCGGAGAAUGAUGGAGACAUUUCAGCAACUUAUUACUUAUAAAGUCAUAAGCAAUGAAUUUAACAGUCGAAAUCUAGUGAAUGAUGAUGAUGCCAUUGUUGCUGCUUUGAAGUGCUUGAAAAUGGUUUACUAUGCAAAUGUAGUAGGAGAGGAAGUGGACACAAAUCCCAAUGAAGAAGAUGAUGAAGAGCCCAUCCCUGAGUCCAGUGAGCUGCCAUUUCAGGGGCUUUUGGGAGAAGAAAGAAGAAACAAGAAAGGUCCUCAAAUGGACCCCCUGGAAACUGAACUUGGCGAUAAAACCCUGGAUUGUCAAAAACCGCUUAUCCCUUUUGAAGAGUUUAUUAAUGAACCACUGAAUGAGGUUCUAGAAAUUAGAAAUGGAUAAAGAUUAUACUUUUUCAAAGUAGAAACAGAGAACAAAUUCUCUUUUAUGACAUGUCCCUUUAUAUUGAAUGCUGUCACAAAGAAUUUGGGAUUAUAUUAUGACAAUAGAAUUCGCAUGUACAGUGAACAAAGAAUCACUGUUCUCUACAGCUUAGUUCAAGGAUAGCAGUUGAAUCCAUAUUUGAGACUCAAAGUUAGAUGUGACCAUAUCAUAGAUGAUGCACUUGUCCGGCUAGAGAUGAUCGCUAUGGAAAAUCCUGCAGACUUGAAGAAGCAGUUGUAUGUGGAAUUUGAAGGAGAACAAGGAGUUGAUGAGGGAGGUGUUUCCAAAGAAUUUUUUCAGCUGGUUGUGGAGGAAAUCUUCAAUCCAGAUACUGGUAUGUUCACAUACGAUGAAUCUAUAAAAUCGUUUUGGUUUAAUCCAUCUUCUUUUGAAACUGAGGGUCAGUUUACUCUGAUUGGCAUAGUACUGGGUCUGGCUAUUUACAAUAACGGUAUACUGGAUGUACAUUUUCCCAUGGUUGUUUACAGGAAGCUAAUGGGGAAAAAAGGAAUUUUCAUGACUUGGGAGACUCUCACCCAGUUCUAUAUCAGAGUUUAAAAGAUUUAUUGGAGUAUGAAGGGAAUGUGGAAGAUGACAUGAUGAUCACUUUCCAGAUAUCACAAACAGAUCUUUUUGGUAACCCAAUGAUGUAUGAUCUAAAGGAAAAUGGUGAUAAAAUUCCAAUUACAAAUGAAAACAGGAAGGAAUUUGUCAAUCUUUAUUCUGACUACAUUCUCAAUAAAUCAGUAGAAAAACAGUUCAAGGCUUUUCGGAGAGGUUUUCAUAUGGUGACCAAUGAAUCUCUCUUAAAGUACUUAUUCAGCCCAGAAGAAAUUGAAUUGCUUAUAUGUGGAAGCCGGAAUCUAGAUUUCCAGGCACUAGAAGAAACUACAUAAUAUCACCGUAGCUAUACCAGGCAUUCUGUU
Sapajus apella (tufted capuchin) is the source of this 2652-nucleotide RNA transcript. It is a transcript of the gene named ubiquitin-protein ligase E3A pseudogene, with no coding region annotated. The transcript has a single exon. NCBI's taxonomy places the organism in Eukaryota, Metazoa, Chordata, Mammalia, Primates, Cebidae. The record is from RefSeq and is a predicted model, not a curated record.